This 990-nucleotide long non-coding RNA is filed under the name Chloebia gouldiae (Gouldian finch). Its description in RNAcentral is "Erythrura gouldiae (Gouldian finch) lncRNA (ENSEGOG00005001372.1)". The record is from RNAcentral. Lineage: Eukaryota; Metazoa; Chordata; Aves; Passeriformes; Passeridae.
CUCACCAAUACGGUGAAAGUUACAGUAUGGGAAAGCAGUCCCAGAGUGUGGAAAAAGAGAAUUUGUGGCAUAAGAGGGAGGGAAGGAACUCUCUAGCAAGCUCAAGCCCACUGGAACAGCUGGUUUUGGUUUUUCAGCUCAGCUAGCCAGGGAUAAAAAGAGAAAUUACUUCAGCCACUUAGUUCAUCAAGAUUGUAUUGAACAACCUCAGGUGGGAAGCAUCAGGCCAUAGGGAGCUUAGACCUGUUAAAGGAUGUGGGAUGUAUGAAUUACACAGAUGGAAUAAAGGAUUUUAGUUAGGUAGACAGACAAAAAAACAGAAGGCUUUAGUGUAACAGCAUCACUUCCUCUCUCUCAGUUUCUCUGCUCUGCCUCCACUCUUUUCUCACCAAGAAAGGGAGGAAAAGCAAGGAUCAGAGUGCUCCAGAAACCCAGACAGCUGCUGCCAGCAAAGAGGAAGAGAAAUCAAGAGAAGUGCUCAGCUUUGGAAACCUGGCUCCAUUCCCAGUGGAACUAGUGUCAGAACCAAUGCCCCAAAGUGUACCCAGAGGACUACAGGGAGCCAGAACAGCUCUGAGGGCAGGGUAUUUUAUCCCAUAUUCUCUCUCAGCUGCAGCACUGAAUCAUGCCACCUUCAGACUAUGUAACUGGUUAGCCACAUGGAAGAUUGCCUUAACCUAGGCUCUCUUGGUCAUGGGUUUGGGACACAGCUUGAGAAAGGCUCUGCACUGGAAUGGGGAAGCGCCGUAAUGCACCUGCAGCAAUCACACAGACAUGAAGCACAGGUCUCUGCAGCACCAGGCGUCCAAACACAUGGUCUCCAACACAACCUGAAGCAGAUCCAGGGGAUGCUCAAGGUUCAGGGACCACUGAGAAAGCUCUCUUCCAUGAUAAUUCUUGGCUGCAGCCGUAGGAAGUAUCAUCCAUGGGAGCUCCAGGUGAGGAUAAUGCAGGGCAUUGUGGGGGAAGACUACUGCAGCUGCCUUCCCA